Polyporus arcularius HHB13444 is the source of this 107-nucleotide non-coding RNA. Lineage: Eukaryota; Fungi; Basidiomycota; Agaricomycetes; Polyporales; Polyporaceae. The record is from the annotation of a GenBank genome assembly.
GUCCCUGUCGAUUAGUGGUUAGAUCAUCACGUUGUGGUAUCGAGUUGGCAACACAACUCGAUUACAAGGGGGCCGUGGGGACGCAGGCUCGAAUCCUGCCAGGGACA